UAUAUAUGUAUAUGGGUCGUUUUCAAAAAAUGUCGAAUUUUCAGUACACCCAUGCUAACUUUUUUAUUUCUAAUGGAAAUUUCAGUUGUAAUGGUUUAAAUGAAAGCUUGUCGGAUUUGUGAUUCAGAACAUUAAUAAUAAACACACCUUACAUCUAUUUUGAUAAGAUUAAACUGCAUUUAAGACCCAUUUUGGGGGUAUUUGUCUGCGUACAGUGUCAGAAAAACACAUUUCAAAUGAUUUUUUUGCGAUUUUCCGAUCGCCUUGAUAUCUGCAAAAGGGACUUUUUAAGAACGUUUAAUAUUACUCUAACGAAAAAUCGUAGCUUCUAUAUCAUUGUAUGUAACACAUUAUCUACAAACUAAAUUGAAUCUGCGUACAGGAGGUUCAUGUCUUUCC
This 399-nucleotide long non-coding RNA is filed under the name Mytilus galloprovincialis (Mediterranean mussel). The record is from RNAcentral. Lineage: Eukaryota; Metazoa; Mollusca; Bivalvia; Mytilida; Mytilidae.